ACAGAGGGUGCAAGCGUUAUCCGGAAUUAUUGGGCGUAAAGGGCGCGAAGGCGGAUAGAUAAGUCAGUUGUGUAAUCCCUGGGCUUAACCUGAGAACGGCAACGCAGACUGGGGCGCUAGAGUGCUGUUGAGGGAGACGGAAUUCCUCGUGUAGCGGUGAAAUGCGUAGAGAUGAGGAGGAACACCAAUGGCGAAGGCAGCCUACUAGACCGUAACUGACGCUCAGGUGCGAAAGUGUGGGGAGCAAACAG
Molecule: ribosomal RNA, 251 nt
Filed under: uncultured prokaryote
Description: partial 16S rRNA
Rfam family: Bacterial small subunit ribosomal RNA
Source: RNAcentral